RNAcentral lists this ribosomal RNA (253 nucleotides) under uncultured bacterium. Its description in RNAcentral is "partial 16S ribosomal RNA". It matches the Rfam family "Bacterial small subunit ribosomal RNA", at positions 524 to 776 of the family's 1533-position model. The record is from RNAcentral.
UACGUAGGGUGCGAGCGUUAAUCGGAAUUACUGGGCGUAAAGUGUGCGCAGGUGGCCGCGCAAGUCGCGUGUGAAAUCCCCGAGCUUAACUUGGGAAUUGCGCUCGAAACUACGUGGCUCGAGUGUGGCAGAGGAAGGUGGAAUUCCACGUGUAGCGGUGAAAUGCGUAGAGAUGUGGAGGAACACCGAUGGCGAAGGCAGCCUUCUGGGCCAACACUGACGCUCAUGCACGAAAGCGUGGGGAGCAAACAGG